UGCAAGUGAAUACACAUAGCCUGUACUGUAUGUGUCACUGCUACUUCAUUAUCACAAACUUUUUUCAGGAUAAGAGAAAUUGAGCCUAAUAGCUGUCAUAUCAUGUCUUUUAACACUCCACCCUCUUAUGCUGAAGGAAGCUACAAUCAUCGAAGUGGGAAGGAAUGUCUACCGAUGUUCUGAUUUAAGUGAAUGAAGGUCUUCUUUCCACCUCGGGAAAUCUUGAGGGUUAUGUAACAGCAGCUUUGAAAUGCUUGUACGAUGUACUUUGUGCUAGUCCAUCUCAAAUCUUCACCGGCUGUACCAAGAACAGAAAAAAAAAAAGGAAUUUGAGACGGGAUCUCAGCAUGUUGGCCAGGAUGGUCUCAAUCUCUUGACCUUGUGAUCCACCUACCUUGGCCUCCCAAAGUGUUGGAAUUACAGGUGUGAGCCACUGCGCCCAGCCAUCAGAACAAAAUAUACAGCUGGAUGUUUGUCACAAUUCUAAUGUCCCUGCAAAGAUGAGAUGCAUGAAUCACACAGCAAUCUCAUCAAAAAGCCGCAGCAACUUUGCUUUGUACCCUCUGUCUCCUGCCAAGAGAGCCCAGGGAAGGUAAUGUCUCCUGGAUCGUAUGAAAUGUUUCUGUAACGGUCACUGUAACUCACACCUUGAUUUUUACCAGGUCGCUGGCAAGUGCGAUGGAUUGUAAUUGCUGCACAUUCAUGAGGGCUUCUCAAGGUUACCCGGUGAGGGUUAAUGUUCAGUUCAUCCACCAGACUUAUGAGGCGGAAGAGAAAAUCUCUAUUAGUUAUUCUGCAGCAUUAACAAAAAAUUAGAGAACAUAGUCUGUGCUCUUAAAAGAAGCCUUGUUGUUCUCUGCUAAAAGGCAAGAGAUCACACACAGUAGGUCAUGAGUGUGUGUCACGUGGAGGGCUAAGGAGGAGCUUCCCUUUGAUAAUAAAACAAACAUUUAGCUUACCUAAGAGCUAUGCAGAGUGAGGACAAGAUGUCUCAUCUGCAAAACAAAAAUAAAUAAAGGCAGAUUUCUAAAAGGCACACAUCAUUCAGAAUUAAAUUAAUUCAAUUAAUUAUGAUGUUUUCAUACAAGUGGAACACAGCCCGGCUAGGAACAAAGAUUUUUCUUCCUUAUUUUAGGAACAAUGACCUAUUUUUCUGUGUUUGUGGGGCCUGUUUGGUGUGGGUUGUUUUUUCCUAAUUAUGUUCUCUUUUUGAGUUUUUCCCUGCCAGGGCACAGUGAAUACCAAAAGAAGAAUAAGACGGAGAGCUAUUCCUCAGUGAAGCAGAGUUUACAACCCUUGUUCAUUUUGGCCAAAGGCCAGCUGACUCUAGUUUACCUAACUUUUAGAGAGUUUCAGAAAAAAAAAUGGAAGUAAUAUCCUGCCUUUGAGUACGGAGACAAAAUUCUAAUAUCAUAAGAGAGUCAUCAGAGGUUAAGGCAGUUAGAAGGGUUCAUUCAUUCAACAUUCAACACAAACUGUGAACACCUAACAUUUGCCAUGUACAAAGAAGGAUGUUCUGCCUUGGACUAACAUCCAUUCCUGUGAGGGAAGAGAAGCAGCAGGCCUGGAUGAUGCCGCCGCUUGAAGAAGAAAAUCUUUCUCCUGCCAGAGUCCUGCUUAACCUUAGCUGGGGGAGGUGAUCUUUAACACUAACUAUUAAAGUUUGAGCCCAGAGACUGGUGCUAAUUCACCCUGACCAACCUCUCACACAGCCACAGAAUUCUCCCCUGCACACCAGGGCACCACCACUGGGAGCUGUUGGCAAUAAGGGAGUGGAGAAGGUACAACGUGAGAGGCCCUCAGUCAUCCACUCCUCUAGUCAGUAGCCUUCCACUCAUAGAUGGAUAAAAACAAGAGCCAUUUUUAGAUUCAGCAUUUCCUGGGGAGAACAACAAUUCCAGCCCCAAACUUCAGAUGUCAGCAGAGAACAGUGUGGGCUCUUUAUGUUCCUCAAGAACAUGCACACUGAGCUUCCCCCGCAGCCCCCGAGCACUGCCAGCUGCUGCUGCUGCGAUCCCAGUGUCUGAGUUUGUGACUCGCCAGGAGAUUGUCUGUUCCUGCUGCUUCCAAUAUCGUCUUGGCCUUUAUGAAGGCACAUGCACACAACUGUAGCGGCACACCUGUCUCCAGCCCAUUGUGGACAUGACUGCUCUUCCAGCGUGGCUCCCCUGUGACAGGCACCUGCUCAGCAACCUACAGAAGCUCCCCCAGAUAAGAAAAUUGAGACCCAGAGCAUUUAAGCAGCCAGCCUGGAGUCACAGAGAUUUAAGUCUCAGAGCCAACACUCAGGAUGAGUGCCAAUGGAAGCCUGUCCUUGGAGUCCAGAAUGAACAUCAGAAGCAACCCAGCCACAGCAUGAGACUGUCCAUGAAUGUCAUCUGGCUGAAC
Gorilla gorilla gorilla (western lowland gorilla) is the source of this 2388-nucleotide long non-coding RNA. RefSeq lists it as uncharacterized. The transcript is spliced from 6 exons. The record is from RefSeq and is a predicted model, not a curated record. NCBI's taxonomy places the organism in Eukaryota, Metazoa, Chordata, Mammalia, Primates, Hominidae.